RNAcentral lists this long non-coding RNA (564 nucleotides) under Carica papaya (papaya). RNAcentral describes it as "long non-coding RNA (CPAP_LNC000735)". Lineage: Eukaryota; Viridiplantae; Streptophyta; Magnoliopsida; Brassicales; Caricaceae. The record is from RNAcentral.
GCCAGAAGCUGCUGUGGCUGCUGCUUAAUGUUUCCAGUUUGGUUUGUGUUUGUUGAAAUGGAUCACAUAGCUUAAUGAUCUUUGUUUAUCAUAAGGGCCAUAUCAUCUGCUAGUAAAUUUGCUUAAACUGUGUUUACUGCAAUAAAAAAAAGGUUGGGUGUUUGUCAUAUUUCUCGUCUCUGUCUGUACCUUGGAAAUAGUGAAUGAUCCAGAUGUUGUGAACUUGUGAUAUUUCCAAUCUCUCCAUCUCAUGUGCACAAAAUUGGUUUUGGUUAUAUUCUGAUAAUUUUGGAGGAUUGCAACCAUGAAUUUGUGGAGUUUCUGGACAUAACAGUGGUUCCAUUCUGGAACCAGAAGAUAACAUAUGUACUGAUAUAUUUUAUUUUGUAGUUUUUAUUUUUCCAUCAAUAAAAAAAUAUGUAGCCAAAUGGGAUCUAUGUAUGGUGAAAUGUGAUUCUCAAUAUAAAUAAAACAGGUUUUUUUAUGAAUAUAUAUAUUUGCACUUCAAGUAUAAAGAGUAGAUUUUUUUUUUUAAUUUUUAAUUUAAUUUAAUUUAUUAUUAUU